Molecule: ribosomal RNA, 602 nt
Filed under: Florilegus festivus
Lineage: Eukaryota; Metazoa; Arthropoda; Insecta; Hymenoptera; Apidae
Description: SSU rRNA
Rfam family: Eukaryotic small subunit ribosomal RNA
Source: RNAcentral
UGGAGGGCAAGUCUGGUGCCAGCAGCCGCGGUAAUUCCAGCUCCAAUAGCGUAUAUUAAAGUUGUUGCGGUUAAAAAGCUCGUAGUUGAAUCUGUGUGUCACAGUGUCGGUUCACCGCUCGCGGUGUUUAACUGGCAUUAUGUGGUACGUCCUACCGGUGGGCUUAGCUCCUUGCGGGCGGUCCAACUAAUCUCCCAUCGCGGUGCUCUUCACUGAGUGUCGAGGUGGGCCGGUACGUUUACUUUGAACAAAUUAGAGUGCUCAAAGCAGGCUACCUUCGCCUGAAUACUGCGUGCAUGGAAUAAUGGAAUAGGACCUCGGUUCUAUUUUGUUGGUUUUCGGAACCCCGAGGUAAUGAUUAAUAGGGACAGAUGGGGGCAUUCGUAUUGCGACGUUAGAGGUGAAAUUCUUGGAUCGUCGCAAGACGGACUAAAGCGAAAGCAUUUGCCAAAAAUGUUUUCAUUAAUCAAGAACGAAAGUUAGAGGUUCGAAGGCGAUCAGAUACCGCCCUAGUUCUAACCAUAAACGAUGCCAGCUAGCGAUCCGCCGAAGUUCCUCCGAUGACUCGGCGGGCAGCUUCCGGGAAACCAAAGCUUUUGGGU